GGGCAUUUGGCACAGUGGUAGCGCGCACGCUUCGCACCGCAGGAAGAAACCGCAUCAACGGGCUUGCGUGAGGUCUAGGGUUCGACUCCCUAAAUGUCCA
Daedaleopsis nitida is the source of this 100-nucleotide non-coding RNA. Lineage: Eukaryota; Fungi; Basidiomycota; Agaricomycetes; Polyporales; Polyporaceae. The record is from the annotation of a GenBank genome assembly.